UUUCCUUGAUUUAGUAAUGAUAUUGCUCAUAGAAAUUGAUAAUAUACUAUUUUAUAUUCACUCGUUCAAGUGCUGAUCUAUUUUUAAAUUGAAUAUUUAUGUAAGUAUUAUGUAUAACACGAUAUAAAUAAUUUAAGGACAUAAGAAAUUAAAAUUUCAAGUGCCAAUAUUGAUUAUUUUUCCAGUUUUAUUCAAAUAUAUUGAAAUUAAUAUGGAAACAAAAGUUCAUAAAUAUUAGUUUGCAAAGCCAUGUCAGAAGAGUAGGAUUAAAGACAAAGUAUUAAGAGUAAUUGGGCUGUUCCUGAACAAUAUUGAAUAUAAAUAUUCAAAAAUAUGAUUGAUAACUGCAUAUCCUACUAAGUAGAUCAAUACCAAAAUCCCAUUAGAGAAAUAAGUUAAAAUUAUGUUUUACUUGUAUAAUUUUCUUGCUAUUUGUCCACCAUUAUUUGUGACUAGAAAUUAAAUAGUCAAAAAGAAUUUAGUACCAGUUUUUAUUUCCCAAAAAAAUUGUUAAAUAAUUACAUAUUGCUUAAGAUACAGUAUAUUAUAUUGUGUUUAUAGUUGAUAAUUCUAGUUCUUAGUUGUUUAUAGUUGAUAAUUAACAAUAUUUCUGAUGUUAGAUAUUAUAUUAGAUAAAAAAUUUAAUUACCAAUAGCUACCUACCUAUGUAGCUGCAGAUUAUAUAUUGUGUAGUAGGUACUGUAUAAUUCUUUAGUUCAAGAAACAAAUAUCAGUACAAGUAUAUAACCAAAAAAAUGUUGAUGCAAAUUCUUUGUAUAACAUACGUACCCCUAUGGUAUUCAACUUUUCAUUGUUCUUUUAAUUAGAUACACAAUAAGCACAUUAAUUGGUUUAUUAAACAACCAAAACUCUAACUACUUAAAUUCACAAUAUAAAUAUCACAAUAAAUGUAUAAGCUUUGAUCAAUUCCUAUUAUUAAUACCUGACGACUUCAUACUUUAUAACUACCAAUGGCUAUCCUACUAACACACUAGCCAACUAAUAAUAAAUCUGUUCUAAAAAAAUACAACAUAAAGACAUCGUUAUUGCAAUAAUAUAGAAAUAUAUUCCAUGUAUCAUUAACUACCUAGGUAUAAAUACAAUACCCACAUCUUCUUUUAUGCGAAUAGUGCGUUAGGAGGCAGAAAUAUUGCCUGCAUUGUACAUCGUACAAAUUGGCUAGAAUUUAUUAAUAUCCAUUGCAAACAUUUCUCUUUUAAAGGGUCUAAAUGUUUUGUCUUUUUACUGUGUCCCUGUAAUAUGUUAUCAAUUAACAACAGUUAUCAAAUAUGACCUGGACAAUAAUUGUUUUAACUUUUUUUCAAACUAAACUCUUUAAACAAACUAUAUAAAUAAAAUUUAUCUCAUAACCUAACUUGCUGUUAGAAUUUCUUUCUUGUUAUUCUAUGUUCCUGUAUUGUUAUUCUUCACAUUAUCAAUUUCUAUGAGCAAUAUCAUUACUAAAUCAAGGAAAUCUAUUCCUAAUGCCAAUUUAAAUUCUGUGAAGGCACAACACUUUCUUCAAUAUUUGUUUACUUCCAAAGGGCAAAGGGUAUAACUUGAAAUAUUUCAAGUAUAUAUUUUAAUUUUUGACAUUAAGCACUCACAUUUAGAACAUCUGAAAUAAGAAAUUUUGUUAUUCUACGCGUCUAAAAAGAUAUAACAUUUUUCUCACUAUAGAGCGAAAUUUCUUUGCGGCUUCAGAUACAAAACUUGCGGAUUUCCAUACAUCGAAAUACAAAAUAAGAUAUUAUUUAUUAGUAGACAAAUACCAAAAUAUAGAAGGCCAAACCAAACCUCUAGGAAAUAACUUUAAAAUACAUUAUUUUUUCAAAAAACGUUUGGAUCUAUAAAUUACAAUAAUAAUCUCAUCACAUCUGUCAGUGAAAUGUUCAAUUUAUAUAUUUUCAAUUUCAAUUUCAAAUACUCGACGCUCAUUGGUCGUGACGAAAUCGUCUUCCUCGACAAAAUACAUAUUUUCCUACAUAGCCCGCUAUAGGGAGUUGAAUAUCCUUCUUCUAUAUAUCCUUGCUGCACCCUCAGAAGUCGUAUCAAUGGAUGAUGGAUGCAUGAAAAUCCUGACCGUGAAUCCAUCCUUCUAGUUAUUAUUUUAUGAAUCCACCUUAGAGAAAGCUGAAAGCCAAUAGCCAAACCUCUGCCAUUGGCCAAUAUUUGAAAAAUUCCAAAAGCCAAUAAUUUUUAAAUUAUUGGCUUUUGGAAUUUUAUAAACCUCUACACAACGCUACACUUGUGUCUACACUCUUUUCUGUUUCAUAGGUAGGUAUGUAAAAUUGGAAUUAUUGGAAUAAUAGUAUAAAAAAGUUUAUUUAUGAGAAUAACCACGUAUAACGUAAUAACUUUAAUACCGCUUAUUUAGUUAAAAGUCUCUGAUAUUAUGCAACUGAUAGUAUUCAUUUUCGGGUAUUUAUCUCUGACAUCUUUUUUUUAUCAUAUUUGUUUAAAAGUCAUAAAUAGACAUUAAACUUACAUUAAAUAAAAGAUUUUAAUCAAGUGUUGAGCUCUGUAUUAAGUGAAAAUAAAAUCUAGCGAUACGAAAAUGAGUAUCUUAAAUGUUCAAGAUUUAAUACUGUCAAAGUAUGAAGAACCCCGUUUCUACGUCAAUUUUAAUACAGUUUUGAGGCCCACUGUAGCAGUAAGAAAUGAAUUUGAACACAAAAUCAACAAGACAAACCAUGUUUUGUGCUGGAGAAUUCAAGAAAACACCCUUGAAAAAAUUGAUAAGAAAAAUGUUGGAUUUUUGUUUGAUUCAGAGGCUUACAUUGUGCACUGGCUCUUUGAUCUUAAAAUAGAUCAGUCAAUAACUGAAGAAAUGUUGGUGUAUUACUGGAGGGGGCAACAUGCUGUAAAAGGCUAUAGUCCUCUUCCAUCAGAUAUAGAAGAGCAAUAUCCUGUUGAGAGGUUGUUCCAGUGGAGUGAACCAGCAUUGUUUUUCCAUGGCUUUGAGAAAUUAAUAGUUUUUAAUGUUAUGGCAACCACAAUGGGAGUUCUUUUCUAUACAUGAAAUUGAAGAAAAUAAUGAGCCAGAUAUAUUUUUGGAAACUGUAAAAGGCAAUUAUCAAGACUUUUAUCAUAUAAAGACUAAUACAGACUUUAGUCCAAAAUUAUUUUACCUUAACACUAUCACGGGUAGUUUUUUAGCCACUGAAGUGGAAUACCCUCUUAGAAAAAUUGGUGGUUUAGCUCCAUUUCCAUUUCUACAAAAUCAUCUUUAUUCAGCAUCUGAACCGGCCUUAUUUCUUCUUGAUAAUAAUACAGAAAUUUGGAUAUGGGAGGGUAAAACUGGCUCCAACAGUGAUAAUACUUUUAAAGAUCAGUUAAAACUAGCGAAGGAUUUACAAUUGAAAUACUGUGAGGAAAAAAGGAAGAUUACUAAUGAAAACAUUAAAAUCUUUUAUACAAAGGCUGGUCAGGAAACACUUGAAUUUAGAAAUAUUUUUCCAGUGUGGGAAAAAUAGAUAAAUAACAUGUACUAUUACUAUGUUUUUAUGGAGUAUUGAAAUCAAUGGAAGUCAAUUUGAAUCCAAUAUCAAUCCUAUGCACGGAGGAAUAAGAGAAUUUGGUUGGUGUCCAAAUUCUCUUUUGAUUAGGUGGUGAGCAACCCUCUUAUUCCUCCGUGAUCCUACUAUGGUAUAUUUUAUCUACCCUCCAUCGAUCCUACAUCAGCCAAUGCGUGAACCAUAUAUGUAAAACGGGCCAUAUACAAAAGGCCUAGCCCAUAUGUAAAUGGACACUCGAUUCGUAUUGAAACAUAAAAAAAAUUAACCCCCCUGAGAUUUGCCUUUUCAUCAGUCAUUUUUCUUUAAUGCUAUCAGCUGAUUGUUGUUUAUUGUUAUUCUGUAACUUAAUCCUAGGUUUGGGGUUUAAAUCAACUUUAUAAAAGUGGCCCUUACAUUACAUAUUUUUAUUUUGUUCUGGAUUUAAAAUAAACUUAAAUUAAUUU
This 3961-nucleotide unclassified non-coding RNA is filed under the name Sitophilus oryzae (rice weevil). RNAcentral's name for it is "supervillin-like, transcript variant X1". Lineage: Eukaryota; Metazoa; Arthropoda; Insecta; Coleoptera; Curculionidae. The record is from RNAcentral.